ACGGGGUGCAGCAGGCGCGAAACCUUUGCAAUGCGCGCAAGCGCGACAAGGGAACUCCAAGUGCCCCCAUUGGGGGCUUUUGUCUACUCUAAAACGGUAGGCGAAUAAGGACUGGGUAAGACCCGUGCCAGCCGCCGCGGUAAUACGGGCAGUCCUAGUGGUGUCCACGGAUACUGGGCUUAAAGCGUUCGUAGCCGGACUCAUCAGUCCUUGGUGAAAGCUUGUGACUUAAUCAUGAGAGUUGCCAGGGAAACAGUGAGUCUUGGAGUCGGGAAGGGUCAGAGGUAUUCCUUGGGUAGGAGUAAAAUCCUGUAAUCCUUGGAGGACCAACAGUGGCGAAGGCGUCUGACUAGAACGAGCUCGACGGUGAGGAACGAAAGCUAGGGGAGCGACCCGGAUUAGAUACCCGGUUAGUCCUAGCCGUAAAUGAUGCAAGCUUUGUGUCGCACUCCGUACGUCGGUGUGCGGUGCCGUAGGGAAACCGUUAAGCUUGCCGCCUGGAAGUACGCCGCAAGGC
This 517-nucleotide ribosomal RNA is filed under the name uncultured archaeon. RNAcentral's name for it is "bacterial SSU rRNA". It matches the Rfam family "Archaeal small subunit ribosomal RNA", at positions 325 to 849 of the family's 1478-position model. The record is from RNAcentral.